Molecule: long non-coding RNA, 1142 nt
Organism: Gasterosteus aculeatus aculeatus (three-spined stickleback)
Lineage: Eukaryota; Metazoa; Chordata; Actinopteri; Perciformes; Gasterosteidae
Source: Ensembl
AAAGAGGUGUUUCCCCUCCCCGCAGGAGCAGCUGUUCCUCGCGUCGCCUGCCGGUGAAAAGCAGCUCCCUGCCGGCUGCAGGAGCAGCAGCAGCCGGCAGGGAGCUUCCCGCGUGUCCCGCUCGGCUCGGCUCGGCUCGGCAACCAAGCACGACCGGGGAAUUACUUACACCCCGAGAAGGUGUUUAGCAACUACAUGGAACGUAUUCGCAGCGUGUAAAAUAAUUAGACACGAAUGUCGUUCGCCCCGCGUAGCGGCUCCUCGCGAGGGACCCGCCAUGUUCACCCGCACGGCGAGCAGCGUGGCUCGUUUGAACUUUAACACAAUUGGAAGCAGCGCGUGAGAACCAUUAUUAUUUUUUAGUGUGUUUACGUUCUGGUAGGUUUAUGACCCGAAACAAGCCGAUGCAGAAUAACAACUCUCACACAACAUUCUAAAAACUAACAAAGUUAAUCACCGCCCAACACUAGUUUCUGGUUUGUUCUCCUUAAGAUGAGCCAAUUUCUUCUUCUUUUUAAAUUUUUUUUACAAGGAUUUGUUGUUGUUGGAUGGUUUAUUCACAAUCCAGCCCGCUGAGGGCUCGUUUUAGCCCGUCCUCAUUUUAAAGCCUCAAUCAAAGGCAGAGGUCUGGAUCAAAGUGAGUUAAUGAAGUUUGCAGGAGGUGUUGAGGAGAGGAGCGCUGGUAAAUCCUGGCCAGGGAGAGACGGCUGUGCAAGGCUUCAUAUCACAUCACAGAUCCAGCAAUAACAUUCAUGAAUAUUCCUCCUUUUCACCAUUCCUUGUCGAUCCCUCACAAGGUCACGGUUGGCCAUCUGUGCUGCGUCCAGGCUUUGAAGCCCGCCAGCGAAAUUGUUACAGCAGCAAAUAGAAUUGUUUUUCUUUCAACACAGAAAUGCAGAUUUUUAAUGUCAAGGCCAGUUUGAUAUAUUUGCAGCAGACAAGUCUAAAGGACAGCGGAGCAUAAAAGGAUUGUUGAGAUUACGAGUUUGACGUUGGAAUCUUUAAAAUGUUUUAUGGUGCUUCAAAAUAGCGCUCUGUAGACUCCUCGUCUUUUUCUGGCAUGCUGUGAGAGAUGUGAAAGAAGUCUGUAUUUCUGAAGGCUAUUGAGUUCUAAAAAACCUUACAAAAAUUAAAUAAAUGGC